UCAGUAACGGCGAGUGAAGCGGUAACAGCUCAAAUUUGAAAUCUGGCCUCACGGUCCGAGUUGUAAUUUGUAGAGGAUGCUUCGAGCAUGGUCUGGCCUAAGUUCCUUGGAACAGGACGUCAUAGAGGGUGAGAAUCCCGUAUGCGGCCAGGUGCCUACGCUCAUGUGAAGCUCCUUCGACGAGUCGAGUUGUUUGGGAAUGCAGCUCAAAAUGGGUGGUAAAUUUCAUCUAAAGCUAAAUAUUGGCCAGAGACCGAUAGCGCACAAGUAGAGUGAUCGAAAGAUGAAAAGCACUUUGGAAAGAGAGUUAAACAGUACGUGAAAUUGUUGAAAGGGAAGCGCUUGCAACCAGACUUGCGCGCGGCCGAUCAUCCGGUGUUCUCACCGGUGCACUCGGCCGUGCUCAGGCCAGCAUCGGUUUUGGCGGCUGGAUAAAGGCCCUAGGAAUGUGGCUCCUCUCGGGGAGUGUUAUAGCCUAGGGUGCAAUGCAGCCUGCUGGGACCGAGGACCGCGCUUCGGCUAGGAUGCUGGCGUAAUGGUUGUAAGCGGCCCGUCUUGAAACACGGACCAAGGAGUCUAACAUCUAUGCGAGUGUUUGGGUGUCAAACCCAUACGCGUAAUGAAAGUGAACGGAGGUGAGAACCCUUAAGGGUGCAUCAUCGACCGAUCCUGAUGUCUUCGGAAGGAUUUGAGUAAGAGCAUAGCUGUUGGGACCCGAAAGAUGGUGAACUAUGCCUGAAUAGGGUGAAGCCAGAGGAAACUCUGGUGGAGGCUCGCAGCGGUUCUGACGUGCAAAUCGAUCGUCAAAUUUG
This 812-nucleotide ribosomal RNA is filed under the name Pseudogymnoascus sp. RNAcentral describes it as "partial large subunit ribosomal RNA". It matches the Rfam family "Eukaryotic large subunit ribosomal RNA", at positions 80 to 913 of the family's 3401-position model. The record is from RNAcentral. Lineage: Eukaryota; Fungi; Ascomycota; Leotiomycetes; Thelebolales; Thelebolaceae.